GUAGGGUGCAAGCGUUAUCCGGAAUCAUUGGGCGUAAAGAGCUCGUAGGCGGUUCAGCAAGUCGGCUGUGAAAUCCCGAGGCUUAACCUCGGAACUGCAGUCGAUACUGCUGUGACUAGAGUCCGGUAGAGGAGAAUGGAAUUCCCGGUGUAGCGGUGAAAUGCGCAGAUAUCGGGAGGGACACCAGUAGCGAAGGCGGUUCUCUGGGCCGGUACUGACGCUGAGGAGCGAAAGCGUGGGGGUAGCAAACAGGAUUAGAUACCCUGGUAGUCCACGCCGUAAACGUUGGACACUAGGUGUGGCGUUCCGACCAACGGGUGCCGUGCCGAAGCUAACGCAUUAAGUGUCCCCGCCUGGGAGUACGGCCGCAAGGCUA
Molecule: ribosomal RNA, 376 nt
Filed under: uncultured organism
Description: partial 16S ribosomal RNA
Rfam family: Bacterial small subunit ribosomal RNA
Source: RNAcentral